Molecule: ribosomal RNA, 253 nt
Filed under: uncultured bacterium
Lineage: Bacteria
Description: partial 16S ribosomal RNA
Rfam family: Bacterial small subunit ribosomal RNA
Source: RNAcentral
GACGAACCGUGCAACCGUUAUUCGGAAUCACUGGGCAUAAAGGGCGCGUAGGCGGCUCCACAAGUCAGGGGUGAAAUCCGGCAGCUUAACUGUCGCAGUGCCUUUGAUACUGUGGAGCUAGAGGGAGGUAGGGGUCUGUGGAACUUCCGGUGGAGCGGUGAAAUGCGUUGAUAUCGGAAGGAACGCCGGUGGCGAAAGCGACGGACUGGAUCUCUUCUGACGCUGAGGCGCGAAAGCCAGGGGAGCAAACGGG